Molecule: transfer RNA, 66 nt
Filed under: Sepiadarium kochi
Lineage: Eukaryota; Metazoa; Mollusca; Cephalopoda; Sepiida; Sepiadariidae
Description: tRNA-Phe
Source: RNAcentral
UUUUGAGUAGCUUAAAUUAUAGAGUGUAACGUUGAAGGUGUUAAGGUGGUUAUUAACCCUUAAAUA